AAUAAGUGCAGUUUUGCACUAUUCACAUUCAACGUUUAAUCAUUCGUCUUAAUUGAAAUUUUUUUAUGAUCAGUAUUUUUAUUGCUAUUAGAUGAUAAAAUAUGAAUAGUAUUUUAUGUGUGAUUAAAUAUUUUCAAUUUUUUCACAAAUUUUUCAAAUAAGACGGACGGUCAAACGUUGGGCACGGAUAUCCACGACUGCACUUAUU
Molecule: microRNA precursor, 208 nt
Organism: Oryza sativa Japonica Group (Japanese rice)
Lineage: Eukaryota; Viridiplantae; Streptophyta; Magnoliopsida; Poales; Poaceae
Rfam family: MIR812 microRNA precursor family
Source: Rfam